Molecule: ribosomal RNA, 468 nt
Filed under: uncultured bacterium
Lineage: Bacteria
Description: partial 16S ribosomal RNA
Rfam family: Bacterial small subunit ribosomal RNA
Source: RNAcentral
GACGAACGCUGGCGGCGUGCUUAACACAUGCAAGUCGAACGGCAAGGCCCUGCUUUUGUGGGGUGCCCGAGUGGCGAACGGGUGAGUAACACGUGAGUAACCUGCCCUUGACUUUGGGAUAACUUCAGGAAACUGGGGCUAAUACCGGAUAGGAGCUCCUGCUGCAUGGUGGGGGUUGGAAAGUUUCGGCGGUUGGGGAUGGACUCGCGGCUUAUCAGCUUGUUGGUGGGGUAGUGGCUUACCAAGGCUUUGACGGGUAGCCGACCUGAGAGGGUGACCGGCCACAUUGGGACUGAGGUACGGCCCAGACUCCUACGGGAGGCAGCAGUGGGGAAUAUUGCACAAUGGGCGGGAGCCUGAUGCAGCAACGCCGCGUGCGGGAUGACGGCCUUCGGGUUGUAAACCGCUUUCGCCUGUGACGAAGCGUGAGUGACGGUAAUGGGUAAAGAAGCACCGGCUAACUACGUG